Molecule: ribosomal RNA, 754 nt
Filed under: uncultured bacterium
Lineage: Bacteria
Description: bacterial SSU rRNA
Rfam family: Bacterial small subunit ribosomal RNA
Source: RNAcentral
AGAGUUUGAUCCUGGCUCAGAACGAACGCUGGCGGCGCGUCUUAAGCAUGCAAGUCGGGCGGUAGCGGGGCGCUUGCGCCCCGUCUAGAGCGGCGGACUGGUGAGUAACGCGUGGGUGACCUACCUUUAGGACGGGGAUAGCCUUUAGAAAUAAGGGGUAAUGCCGGAUAUAAUUACGGCGCUACGGCAGUGUAAUGAAAGGCGCUUCGGCGCCGCCUGAAGACGGGCCCGCGUCCCAUUAGGUAGUUGGCGGGGUAACGGCCCACCAAGCCCGUGAUGGGUAGCCGGCCUGAGAGGGUGAACGGCCACACUGGGACUGAGAUACGGCCCAGACUCCUACGGGAGGCAGCAGCUAAGAAUAUUCCGCAAUGGACGAAAGUCUGACGGAGCGACGCCGCGUGGAUGACGAAGGCCGAAAGGUUGUAAAAUCCUUUUGCUACUGAAGAAUAAGGCGGGCAGGUAAUGGCCUGCUGAUGACGUUAGGUAGCGAAUAAGCCCCGGCUAAUUACGUGCCAGCAGCCGCGGUAACACGUAAGGGGCGAGCGUUGUUCGGAAUUAUUGGGCGUAAAGGGCGCGUAGGCGGUUACGCAAGUCCGAUGUGAAAUACCGGUGCUCAACACCGGGGCUGCAUUGGAAACUGCGGAACUGGAGUCAUGGAGGGGGAGUUGGAAUUCCUAGUGUAGGGGUGAAAUCUAUGGAUAUUAGGAAGAACACCGGUGGCGAAGGCGAACUUCUAGCCAGUGACUGACGCUGA